This 519-nucleotide small RNA is filed under the name Pseudo-nitzschia cf. arenysensis CBA168. RNAcentral's name for it is "eukaryotic LSU rRNA". It matches the Rfam family "Eukaryotic large subunit ribosomal RNA", at positions 38 to 574 of the family's 3401-position model. Lineage: Eukaryota; Bacillariophyta; Bacillariophyceae; Bacillariales; Bacillariaceae. The record is from RNAcentral.
GCAUAUAAUAAGCGGAGGAAAAGAAACUAACUAGGAUUCCCUCAGUAACGGCGAGUGAAGCGGGACUAGCUCAGGAUGUGAAUCUGCGCUGUAUGGCGCCGAAUUGUGGUCUAUAGACUUUGACGUUAUCUGCCGGGCCAAGUUCCUUGGAAAAGGACAGCUGAGAGGGUGAGACUCCCGUCCGCCUGGUAGAGUGAGUCGUUGUCAACGAGUCGAGUUGUUUGGGAUUGCAGCUCUAAUUUGGUGGUAAAUUCCAUCUAAAGCUAAAUAUUGGUGGGAGACCGAUAGCGUACAAGUACCGUGAGGGAAAGAUGCAAAGAACUUUGAAAAGAGAGUUAAAGAGUACCUGAAAUUGCUGAAACGGAAGCGAAGGAAACCAGUGUUUGUUGGUUCAUAUUUCCCUGGCCACUUGUGGUUUGGGCGCUGUGAGCUUGCGUGGGUUUGCUUUGGUUGAUCCCUUUGGAAGAGCGCAGUCAGAGUUGAUGUCUGUUGCUAGCACUGGGUUUGACUAAUGCAGAA